GACGAACGCUGGCGGCGUGCUUAACACAUGCAAGUCGAACGGAAAGGCCCUGCUUUUGUGGGGUGCUCGAGUGGCGAACGGGUGAGUAACACGUGAGUAACCUGCCCUUGACUUUGGGAUAACUUCAGGAAACUGGGGCUAAUACCGGAUAGGAGCUCCUGCUGCAUGGUGGGGGUUGGAAAGUUUCGGCGGUUGGGGAUGGACUCGCGGCUUAUCAGCUUGUUGGUGGGGUAGUGGCGUACCAAGGCUUUGACGGGUAGCCGGCCUGAGAGGGUGACCGGCCACAUUGGGACUGAGAUACGGCCCAGACUCCUACGGGAGGCAGCAGUGGGGAAUAUUGCACAAUGGGCGGAAGCCUGAUGCAGCAACGCCGCGUGCGGGAUGACGGCCUUCGGGUUGUAAACCGCUUUCGCCUGUGACGAAGCGUGAGUGACGGUAAUGGGUGAAGAAGCACCGGCUAACUACGUG
Molecule: ribosomal RNA, 468 nt
Filed under: uncultured bacterium
Lineage: Bacteria
Description: partial 16S ribosomal RNA
Rfam family: Bacterial small subunit ribosomal RNA
Source: RNAcentral